AGGUGUAGCGGUGAAAUGCGUAGAGAUCUGGAGGAAUACCGAUGGCGAAGGCAGCCAUCUGGCCUAAUACUGACGCUGAGGUACGAAAGCAUGGGGAGCAAACAGGAUUAGAUACCCUGGUAGUCCAUGCCGUAAACGAUGUCUACUAGCCGUUGGGGCCUUUGAGGCUUUAGUGGCGCAGCUAACGCGAUAAGUAGACCGCCUGGGGAGUACGGUCGCAAGACUAAAACUCAAAUGAAUUGACGGGGGCCCGCACAAGCGGUGGAGCAUGUGGUUUAAUUCGAUGCAACGCGAAGAACCUUACCUGGCCUUGACAUACUAGAAACUUUCCAGAGAUGGAUUGGUGCCUUCGGGAAUCUAGAUACAGGUGCUGCAUGGCUGUCGUCAGCUCGUGUCGUGAGAUGUUGGGUUAAGUCCCGCAACGAGCGCAACCCUUUUCCUUACUUGCCAGCAUUUCGGAUGGGAACUUUAAGGAUACUGCCAGUGACAAACUGGAGG
This 498-nucleotide ribosomal RNA is filed under the name Acinetobacter baumannii OIFC143. RNAcentral describes it as "bacterial SSU rRNA". It matches the Rfam family "Bacterial small subunit ribosomal RNA", at positions 671 to 1169 of the family's 1533-position model. Lineage: Bacteria; Pseudomonadati; Pseudomonadota; Gammaproteobacteria; Moraxellales; Moraxellaceae. The record is from RNAcentral.